GAUGCGCAACAUCAAACACAACAUCGAAAGAGGCUGAAAAAUCGCUGUCGCGACGAAUAUUUUGUUGAUACUUCGGUCGAGGGAAAUUUGUGCGGUUGAAUUUCGGGUCGUAAUUUGGUGUUUUUCUGACGAAAAUGUAUGUUUUCCGUAACGUGAAGUGAGUGCAAACAGAAAUUGGUGCGCAUUUGGCAGUCUAUCGUCGGGAAAGUGAUUUAAAUUGGAUAACAAUUUGCGGAUUCCCAUCGGCGCUUGUUUGUGCGACACUUUCUCCUGCAACGUAAAAGGACACUACUGAGCUGAACUGAACUUUCAAGGCAUUUUUCCCUAUGCAAUGCAUGCAUUGCGGUGUAACGAUGCAACAACAGCCGGAACAGUGGGAACUGCAGCUGGCGGUACCUUAGCUAGUGGAGGAACGAACACAGGAGGUGGCAUAGCGGGUGGAGGAGGAACAACCUUGGGAGGCACGUCGAUCCUCCAGCUAUCAACGCAACCCCAAGUUCAGCCUCAGCCACAACAACAACCAGCAUCGACGCAGUCGCAAACUUCACAGCUGCCCAAAGGUGGCCCAGUGCGGAUAAAUGGCAUUAAAGGAUACCAGAACAGAACGAACCAUAUCAUCUAUUGUCCGCCAUUGUUGCGCUCCAAAGAUGAUUGCUCGGCAGUUGUCUACUUCGGUGGAGAUGUCCAGGACAUCCCGGAAAAGAUGGAAACCAACAGAGACAAUAAAAACUACAUCAAAUGGAACCUGGAGAACACGGCCUUGCUUCUGAGGGAUUCAUUUCCGCGGGCCCAUAUCGUUGUGGUGCGUCCCAUGCGCAUGGAGUACAGUACGUUCAGUUGCUUCGACAACUUUGUACGGGGCAACAACGCUGGCAUUCCCGAUCACACUCCGAUGCACUUCUCUUUGCAACAUUUGGAGGAAUUGCUAAUCAAUUUAACGAAAAAGUUGACGAAACCAGUUCUGGAACCUGAUCUAUUGCAUAAGCUUAUAGCGGCUACGAAUUCUUCCUUAUGUGAAACAGGUUUAGAAGGAAGUCAAGAAAUGGACGUUGAUGUUCUACAGUCGGACAUUCAAAACAAUACAGCAAAUUCAGCUUCAUCGUCGGUAACGGGUUCCGGGGCUAGCAAUACAGAUAUUAACGAUUUGCUCUGGUGGCGUGAGAGUCUCAAUCUAGACAAAGCAAACCUCGCAUUAAUGGGUUUCAGCAAAGGAUGUGUCGUUCUCAAUCAAUUCAUCUACGAGUUUCAUUACUAUAAGACCCUUACCCCUGACGAUAGCACAAUGAUGCGAUUGGUUUCCCGAAUAAAAGACAUGUACUGGCUGGAUGGUGGCCAUGGCGGCGGCAAGAACACUUGGAUUACCUCGCGAAGUCUCCUAGAGACGCUCUGUCGGUUAGGUAUCAACGUUCACGUGCAUGUUACGCCAUAUCAGAUCCAGGACGAUCACCGUCCUUGGAUACGCAAGGAGGAGAAAGCUUUCACGGAUUUGCUCAAACGCCUGGGUGCUUGUUUCGAUCGACACUUGUAUCCAAGUGAAGCCAACUCAACAAAUCUGUUCACCCACUUCGAAGUACUCAAUCGUUUCCGGCAAUACCAGAUCAACGUUUUCGCACAACAACACUUGCAACAGCAACAACAGCAACUAACCGCAACUAACUUAUCUACCGCGUUGGAAGAUACUGUCCAACUCCAACAGCAGCAACUACAAUCGCAAUCAGAAUUACAUCCAACAGAAUCCGGUGAAACGGUUACCUCUGGUGUAGAGCAAAUGAUUACCGAUACCGAUCCAGAUGUGGAUGACGAGAAAUUAGCUGCUGCCGUCGAAGACGAUGAAGACGAUGAAAGUGGUACCAAGUAAUCGCGUGACGUAUAACUAAUCACCAAUUCAGCCAGCGAAUUUACAGUUUCUCUUGCGAUAAGUUUUCGCAAAACCAGUGAUGAAUGCUUUAUAAAGAAUCGUUUCUCAUUUCGUUGUUUUUGUGAAACGCCGCCGCAUUAUGAUUGUAUGUGAUAUAUAGGUGAAAAUUGUACAGUUUAAGCCUAUAUUAGCAAAACCAAUCAUGCCAUUAUAUUUUGCAUAAAAUUUAUUGCGUGGAAAAAAACAGAUGGAACACAGAAUAAUUAUAUUUCCUUGAUGAUAGUCUUUAUUUUAGAUGAAUAAUAAUUAUUAUUUUGAAAUUGUAGUUCGCAAAUCAGGAUCAUACGAAAAAUUAUAAUAUAUUUUUGUGACUUUCUUUCGAUCGCGUAACGUUUAAGUUUAGCUGGCUAGGCUAGGGAAGGCGUAAGUAUCCGAGUUUUUUCGGAUACUACGGUCAUGACGACAUACUACUACAAUUAUUUCAGAAUAGUCUAAGUGAUAAAACAAAAUCGACACAAAAGUAUUCAAUUUGGAUUGAUAUUUAGGAAUGGAUGGCAGCAAUGCUGUAUUUUUCAGAACAAAAAAAAAAUGAUUAGUACAUCAUUACUAUGCACUAAAUAAUAACUGCUUUUUCGGCAAUCAGUCAUAAGGAAAAUUUUACUCGGAAACAGAGAUCAUAGAUUUUUAACUGUCGGAAAAAAUAAACAAUCAAAAACAAAAAAGUUUUGCUGUUUAGGAUGAAUGGUAAAAAUUCAUGUUUGCUAUGGAAAUAAUGAAUGUAAAAUUGAAGCAAAAAUGAGAGGUUUUCACGUUUGAAUCUAA
This is an RNA transcript of Aedes aegypti (yellow fever mosquito), 2680 nucleotides long. It is a transcript of the gene named UPF0565 protein C2orf69 homolog, with no coding region annotated. The transcript is spliced from 7 exons. Lineage: Eukaryota; Metazoa; Arthropoda; Insecta; Diptera; Culicidae. The record is from RefSeq and is a predicted model, not a curated record.